Molecule: unclassified non-coding RNA, 591 nt
Filed under: Hevea brasiliensis (rubber tree)
Lineage: Eukaryota; Viridiplantae; Streptophyta; Magnoliopsida; Malpighiales; Euphorbiaceae
Source: RNAcentral
UUAGCAAUUAAUAUAUAUAAUUAGUUAUCUCAUGCCAUAAAUUAAUAAAGAGAAUGAUUACAAAUUUUAAUAUGUAACAAGAGGGCAUUUAAAAAACCUAAUAACUAAAGGGGGAAGAACAAAACAAAAGGGGCCUAUGGCUUAAGCACCACCAGAUUUUUCUUCUUUGGUGAAAGCAGCAGUGGCACAAACAUAAUAUGCAACACAGAACAGCCCAUGAACAAAGCAUAAAAUGCCUCCAGUAGAUAGAAAACGACGGUAUGAGAAACCACAGGAAGCCCUUGACUUGUUAUUUGACGAAGCUCCAAUAACCAACAUGGACAAACCAACGGCUAAUAUGAUCCAAGAGAAAAUGAAGCAAGCCACAGAAAGCUGCUUGUUAGGAGAAGCUCUUUGAAGCUGCUCUUGAGAACAAAUACAAAUGCACCCACCAAGCAAAUUAGCAAUAACAUGAGCUAUACCCAGUAGUGCUGCAGCUGCUAACCCUAGCGUGAAAGCAUCAUGACUUGGCUCUUUACACUCAAAUAUCCACAACCUCAAGUUCUUAACCUUGUUUUGUGCAAUUUGUGCUUGGAUGCCAAGAAUCCCAGC